Molecule: ribosomal RNA, 482 nt
Filed under: uncultured Lewinella sp.
Lineage: Bacteria; Pseudomonadati; Bacteroidota; Saprospiria; Saprospirales; Lewinellaceae
Description: bacterial SSU rRNA
Rfam family: Bacterial small subunit ribosomal RNA
Source: RNAcentral
GAUGAACGCUAGCGGGAGGCUUAAUACAUGCAAGUCGAGCGAGAAGGUUGGUGCUUGCACUAACUGGACAGCGGCGCACGGGUGAGUAACGCGUACGCAAUCUACCUUUCACAGAGGGAUAGCCCCGGGAAACUGGGAUUAAUACCUCAUGGUCCGUAAUAGUGGCAUCACUAUAACGGUAAAGUUCCGACGGUGAAAGAUGAGCGUGCGUACUAUUAGCUAGUUGGUGAGGUAACGGCUCACCAAGGCGAUGAUAGUUAGGGGGCGUGAGAGCGUGAUCCCCCACACGGGUACUGAGACACGGACCCGACUCCUACGGGAGGCAGCAGUAAGGAAUAUUGGACAAUGGAGGCAACUCUGAUCCAGCCAUCCCGCGUGCAGGAUGACGGCGCUACGCGUUGUAAACUGCUUUUGUGUAAGAUGAAACACUUCCAUUUAUGGAGGCUUGACGUUAUUACAAGAAUAAGCACCGGCUAACUCCG